This 117-nucleotide ribosomal RNA is filed under the name Pteropus alecto (black flying fox). The record is from RNAcentral. Lineage: Eukaryota; Metazoa; Chordata; Mammalia; Chiroptera; Pteropodidae.
GUGUGAGGUGAUGGAUGUAUUAGUGCACGAUCUCUUCUGAUCUCAGAAGCUUAGCAGAGUCAGGCCUGGUUAGUACUUGGAUGGGAGACCACCUAGGAAUACCAGAUGCUAUAGGUG